Molecule: ribosomal RNA, 600 nt
Filed under: Reboulia hemisphaerica
Lineage: Eukaryota; Viridiplantae; Streptophyta; Marchantiopsida; Marchantiales; Aytoniaceae
Description: eukaryotic LSU rRNA
Rfam family: Eukaryotic large subunit ribosomal RNA
Source: RNAcentral
AUCACUAAGCGGAGGAAAAGAAACUAACAAGGAUUCCCCUAGUAGCGGCGAGCGAACCGGGAGAAGCCCAGCUUGAAAAUCGCGUCGUUUCGGCGACGAGUUGUAGUCUGGAGAAGUGUCCUCUGCGGCGGACCCGGCUUAAGUCCCCUGGAAAGGGGCGUCAGAGAGGGUGAGAACCCCGUCGGGCCGGGACCCUGCCGCUCCACGAGGCGCUAUCGACGAGUCGGGCUGUUUGGGAAUGCAGCCCUAAGCGGGAGGUAAAUUCCUUCCAAGGCUAAAUACAGGCGGGAGACCGAUAGCGAACAAGUACCGCGAGGGAAAGAUGAAAAGGACUUUGAAAAGAGAGUUAAAAAGUGCUUGAAAUUGCUGGGAGGGAAGCGAAUGGAGGCCUCGUGUGCGCCCCGGUCGGAUGCGGAACGGCGAGAGCUGGUCCGGCCUCGACGCGGGGCGCUGGUCGGCGUGGGCUUCCCCGGCGGGACAAAAGUCGGCCUUUUGUGGCCGGCCGAUGCCGUCGAGGAGGCCGAGGAAAACUGAAGUGCGCGCCUCGGGCGGGCUCCCUCGGGAGUACCUGCGCACUCGGGACGCCGGCGUAGUGGGCUU